GCUGGGCAUGGUAGCGCAUGCCUUUAAUCCCAGUGACUUUGGAGGCUGAGGCAGGAGGAUCCCAGAUUCAAAGCCAUCCUCAGCAACUUAGUGAGACCCUGUCUCAA
RNAcentral lists this small RNA (107 nucleotides) under Marmota monax (woodchuck). Lineage: Eukaryota; Metazoa; Chordata; Mammalia; Rodentia; Sciuridae. The record is from RNAcentral.